Molecule: transfer RNA, 78 nt
Filed under: Nitrospina sp.
Lineage: Bacteria; Pseudomonadati; Nitrospinota; Nitrospinia; Nitrospinales; Nitrospinaceae
Also listed under: 5 other names
Description: tRNA-Pro
Rfam family: tRNA
About the family: Transfer RNA (tRNA) molecules are approximately 80 nucleotides in length. Their secondary structure includes four short double-helical elements and three loops (D, anti-codon, and T loops).
Source: RNAcentral
CGGGGCGUAGCGCAGCCUGGCUAGCGUACCUGCUUUGGGAGCAGGGGGUCGGAGGUUCGAAUCCUCUCGCCCCGACCA